CCUACGGGAGGCAGCAGUGAGGAAUAUUGGUCAAUGGACGAGAGUCUGAACCAGCCAAGUAGCGUGAAGGAUGACUGCCCUAUGGGUUGUAAACUUCUUUUAUAAAGGAAUGAAACGAGGCGAGUGUGCCUUUUUGCAUGUACUUGAUGAAUAAGGAGCGGCUAACUCCGUGCAAGCAGCCGCGGUAAUACGGAGGAUCCGAGCGUUAUCCGGAUUUAUUGGGUUUAAAGGGAGCGUAGAUGGGUUGUUAAGUCAGGUGUGAAAGUUUGCGGCUCAACCGGAAAAUGGCAAUUGAUACUGGCAGUCUAGAGUACAGUUGGGGUAGGCGGAAUUCGUGGUGUAGCGGUGAAAUGCGUAGAUAUCACGAAGAACCCCGAUUGCGAAGGCAGCUUACUAAACUGUGACUGACAUUGAUGCUCGAAGGUGUGGGUAUCAAACGGGAUUAGAUACCCGGGUAGUC
RNAcentral lists this ribosomal RNA (460 nucleotides) under uncultured bacterium. RNAcentral's name for it is "partial 16S ribosomal RNA". It matches the Rfam family "Bacterial small subunit ribosomal RNA", at positions 338 to 795 of the family's 1533-position model. The record is from RNAcentral.